RNAcentral lists this non-coding RNA (102 nucleotides) under Bacillus sp. (in: firmicutes). RNAcentral's name for it is "Bacillus sp. Guanine sequence". It matches the Rfam family "Purine riboswitch aptamer". Rfam says of the family: Riboswitches are metabolite binding domains within certain messenger RNAs that serve as precision sensors for their corresponding targets. Allosteric rearrangement of mRNA structure is mediated by ligand binding, and this results in modulation of gene expression. Lineage: Bacteria; Bacillati; Bacillota; Bacilli; Caryophanales; Bacillaceae. The record is from RNAcentral.
AUUAAAUAAGUCGAAAUACGUCGUAUAAUAUUGGGGAUAUGGCCCAAAAGUCUCUACCAAGCUGCCGUAAAUAGCUUGACUACGAAGUGUUAAUAUAGGUGA